CCUACGGGGGGCAGCAGUGAGGAAUAUUGGUCAAUGGCCGAGAGGCUGAACCAGCCAAGUCGCGUGAAGGACGACGGCCCUACGGGUUGUAAACCUCUUUUGUCGGGGAGCAAAGCGAGUCACGUGUGACUCAUUGAGAGUACCCGAAGAAAAAGCAUCGGCUAAUUCCGUGCCAGCAGCCGCGGUAAUCCGGAGGAUGCGCGCGUUAUCCGGAUUUAUUGGGUUUAAAGGGUGCUCAGGCGGAGGUGAAAGCAAGUGGUAAAAUUGAGAGGCUCAACCUCUUCGAGCCGUUGAAACUGGUGUUCUUGAGUGAGCGAGAAGUAGGCGGAAUGCGUGGUGUAGCGGUGAAAUGCAUAGAUAUCACGCAGAACUCCGAUUGCGAAGGCAGCAUACCGGCGCUCAACUGACGCUCAUGCACGAAAGUGUGGGUAUCGAACAGGAUUAGAUACCCGAGUAGUC
RNAcentral lists this ribosomal RNA (459 nucleotides) under uncultured bacterium. RNAcentral's name for it is "partial 16S ribosomal RNA". It matches the Rfam family "Bacterial small subunit ribosomal RNA", at positions 338 to 795 of the family's 1533-position model. The record is from RNAcentral.